Molecule: long non-coding RNA, 5780 nt
Filed under: Gallus gallus (chicken)
Lineage: Eukaryota; Metazoa; Chordata; Aves; Galliformes; Phasianidae
Source: RNAcentral
CAAAGGAUGGCAGACAGUCAGGCUCUGUUAAAUGUUCUGGCCUGAGGUUUAAUGAAAACCACAUUUCAACUGAAAAAUAUGCUUUACGUGGCAGUGUAUAAAACCGGCUUUAUUGCUUUCUGGUUAAAUGCUGAACGCUAAAGAACAAAACAAGAAAGCAUUCCAAUGAUACAGGAGAUAUUUUACAUUUAGAGGAAGCCUCUCAUACUGUAGUUAAAUGAGCCAAACUGCAUCGUAUCCUUAGGGCAUGGAAACAAAGAAGAAAAAUGCAACAUCACUCCGUAAACCUGCUGCUUAUAAGAACGGCUCCGUCAGAUAUAUCAAGCACGGCAGAGACACAUAAUCACCACUGCAGCGUGCCUUCCUUCAGAGCGACUUCAGUGACAAAACAUGUAUUAGAAGCCUUACAUGCAGUGGUGCGGCUGGUUAAAGGAUAUGCCUUGAUUUGACUAGAAUCAAGAGUUUCGAGUGAAAAUAAAAGUGAAAAUACCUGCUGUACCAUCCCGCUCCCUUUAUCCUCCAUAAACUUAGCCAGCUGCUCUAGUCCCAGGCCAUACAGCAUCUGCCCAAAGCAAGCAUCAAUUAUGGAUGAGGGCGUGCGAGCAAUGUAAUGUGUGUAAGAGUGUGGAUGAUAGGGGUGUUCGAGGAGGGGGAGCUAAUCCAGGGUUUACUGACCUCCCUCUCAACAUCUGACUGCUCCCAAAACCUAAUCCAGAUGGGGAUCUUUCGGCUUGCUGCGCCUCGCCCCAUCAAUCACAGCAGGCCACUCCCCUGUCUCCUGCUACUAGUUAUAGAGUGCACCACUGAGCAGAUGAUUACACACAGAAGAAGAAAAAACACAGCUUGACUACAUUAAUAGCUGCUUCAAAAACACCAGAAAUGCUACUAUGUCAGUUGCUGGAAGCAGAACAUUUUUGUUUUAAAAUUAAGAUGCUGUACUGAAAGUUACAAAAAAACCUUCCAGCGCUUCAGGUUUCUGAUACUUAGAACAUGCACAUAUUUCUGUGUGAUUAGUUCUUCCUACAUGGGGUAGAGUUAAUACCAAUAACAUUUCUACUUCACAUUUGCUGAACUCCAUAAGUAAACCAUCAAGACUGAAAGCAGCCUGUUUUAGAUUAAAAGUACUUUAUCCUCCCAUACAAAUGAAAAAUUGUUUCCCUUUUUGUUUCAUUUCACAGCACCAAAAAUGCUUCCAAGGUUUGGUUCUGUGAGGCACUUUAAGCAAGUUAAUACUUCGCUGUUGAAGGCAUUUUCUUAGUUGCUCUAGAGUUGGUUUGAGAAUGAUUAAACUGCUAAUUAAAUCAAGUAGCAAUACAUUUAUAGAUGGGGAGAUACAGAAAGGCCCCACAGAACACAUUUUUAUUGCCACUCAAUCCCAGACUGCCUACUGAAGAGAAACCGCAAGCAGGGCAGACACUUCACAUGGAAAUUAUUCUUACAAAUGUUAGAAUUCACAUUACUAUUGUAGUAUAAGUGUUAGAAGAGUACACAGGACAGCGGAUAAACAGCUACCAGCUCAUCCUUAAACUUAUACUCCAUCUGAUACGUAUUAGAUUUCCUUAAAGCAGUGGUGCAACUCUUCCAGAUUUGUUGCUGGCACUCUCCAAUUAAUGAUAAUAAGAGCAGCCACUUCAGAUUUUUCAGAAGGAAUCAGACAUCCAACCACAGUGGACCAAUAAUCACAACUGACUGAUUUUGCAAGCUUUCUCUGUUGUAGCUUAAUUAUCUGACCAGGACACUUGACUCAGAUCAUUUACUUCUGCAGUCAUUCAAAAUGAAUUCUCCAGCUACCUCUUUUUGGAAGGUUCAUCGCAGAUACAAACGCAGAUUUCAUUUAAGAAACAGUAUCGUUCCAAAAGAAGUCUAUCCUCAAAAGAAAGAAAAUGCAAAACAUUUCCUUCAGAGAACAUGGGGCAAAAAGGCAAUAAGUAAGGAAGCAAAAAAGACUUUCCUCACUACCUGAAAAAAACAAGUUCUUUACUCUCCUUACUGUGAAGCACCUGCUUUUGGUUCUCUUCACAUACAACACGCUGUACCCAAGUAAAAGUCUGUUGUCUUGUUACUUGCUAGGUAUAUAUCUGAAAAGGAAAGGCUCACUUUGCGUUGAUGCCUGAAGUACGGAACAAACUAAUGAAACAUCACAACACCCACAGUGUAGGAGGGUUAGAUAUUAUUACCUACAUUUCAAAGGUCAACAACCUACCAAAAACUAAGUCCUAGUCAGAACUCCUGCCUACAGUAAAGACCAUGGAGUCCUAUGUAUCUACAUGAUACACAUGAAGAAAGCAUUCCCAGCAGUACCAUCAUUCUUUCUAAAAGUCACUGCUCAAACUUCCAACUACCACUAUAACACCAUGAUUUAUUACACUACCUCUCCCUGUCCUCCAAGACAGCUCUUUCUCUUGCUAUUUUCAGUGGUCCAAAUAGACACAAUUCUGUUGCAUUAAUUUGUAUGUACUUUUACAUUAUCAUCAAAAGUUUUCUUAUACUUUUUAAAACACAUUUUCAAAGCACAAGUCACCAGAACUGCCUGAAGAGCCACAGAGCAAGGGAAUCUGAAGCAUGUAGCAAGUAUUACCCAAAUUCAUUUCCACAAUGAGAGUUUUGUUUGCUAUAAAGUUUCAAACUAAGUCAUAAAAGAAGCUUUUCCCACAGGUCAAAAUAAGAAAGUACUUCUAGGUUCCAUAUUGCAUCUUUUACUAGAGCAUACCAAAGACAGACAAUGCAGCAUCCUUGUUCCCAAAAACAAACAAACAUCAGAAGCACUGGAUUGCCAACAUACCAGGUGCUUAAAAAGCUACCCAAAUGCUGGCCUUUAAAGGGAGAAGCAAUGUUUAGAAGUCUAACUGGCAGCAAACUAUGAAUGCCAUCCCUUCAGCACAGAGUCCAGUCCCAUAACAGGAUAACAUCUUUACAGAAGACUGUAUGAAGUAUCAGAACAUAAAUUCAAAUGCGACGGCCAGUGGAUCUACCUGAGAGCAGUUCUGACAUAAAGAUCUUGACAAGUUAGAAGAGUAGGAUGAGACGAACCUGACCUAGGGACAGAACAGCUCCUGCUCUGAUCUACAGAAAAGGAUCUGCUGGAGAACAGGUGGACAUUAAAUUAAGCAUGGAUCAGCAUCAACACUUAAGGCAAUAAAGGUUAACUGCAUAGUGGGCAGCAUUAACAAAAGGAUAGUCACUGGACUGAGGAAAAAGAUUAUUCCUCCCUGCACAGCACUUCUGAAGCAGCAUCUGGAACAUCCUGGCCGGUCUGGAGUCCCCCAGGAUGGGAGAUUCAUUUUGAAACUGGAGAGCACAGUGCUGGGCUGCAAAGACUGUUGGAGGACUGCAGCACAUGAGAGGGGCUGGUCACGCUUAGCCUGGAAAAGAAAGGGCUGGCAGAUCCUCAACUACAUCUUCCCCAGUGCAACAAUAGUGUAACAGAGACAGAAUCAGACUUUUCCUGGAAGUGCUGAGCAAAAGAACAAAAAGCAAUGGCCAAAAGCUGCAGAAGCAGAAAUACUGUUUGGCUAUAAGGAAUAAAAAGAUAAUAAUGAGGAAAGUUAAGCCUGAACAUGCUGUUCAGGGAGGUGGUGGAAUCUUGGAGGCUUUCAAAUUUAAACUGGACAAGUCCUUGAGCAACUUGAUAUAACGAUGUCAUUAGCCCCAGCUGAAAAAAGCAGCUGGGAUUUUAUAGCCUCUGAAGUUUGUUUUCAGCCCAAAGUAUUCUGUGAUUUCAUGUGGCUUCAAGAGUACCUGAACAUAUUUUAUGAUUUUAUACUUCUACCUUACUUGAUGGCUUUCCUCACGAAGGAUUUAUUGACAAGGAAGAGCUAAGACAAAACAUCUAGUCUACUUUCUGUCCUCGAGGAGCUACAUCUCAAUUCCUUCAGAUGGAUUUUGAAAGCUCUCUCAGGAAAAUAUAUUUACAUUUGUUUAAUACACAAGUAGAGCAGUAUGGAAGUCGCAAUCACUUAUGGCACAUGCUAGACAAGAACGGUCUCACAAAGAACUAUGACACGUCUUAAUUAUUUGCCAAAUAUCACAAUUUUCAAUAUAUGUAGAAGAACAUGACCUUUAGAAUUGCAUCUCCAUAGAAAGUAGAUUUUUUUUUUUUUGCCUUCUGCUUCAUCUCCCAAACAGUAACUUCCACUGGCAUGCAAACUUUCUAAUUUUAUCUGCAGUUUUUAUACUGAACUAUUUUUUUUUUUUAACAUAUUAAACAUAUUGAAAUCUUUGCCACCUCCUAAAUCAGAAUAUUAAUAAAGCUACUGCACCCACUUUCUUUUUUUUCAGAGUCUAAAACAGUGGUUGCACAAACUUAGUCUUACUGUUAACUGAAUACUAACUGAAGAUAUGAGAUUUUCAAAGGGGCAGAAGUUCCUAAAUCAGUUCAUAAGCAGUUGUGACAAAGAGAAGUGAGAGGUUACUGCACUGAGGAAACAAUCGAUGGGAGGUGGAGAAAGAACAAAGCAGCAGAAAUAUAUGGUGCUGUAUUAGCAUAAAAUAUUUUGUUCUGAGUAACUGUUUCUUAAUAAUCUCAAGCUCCAACUUGGUAAAGACUCAAGGCAACAAACACCAAGCAGCAAACUACAGGUCUUCACAGGAGAACUCAAGAACAACUAUCUGUUCUUACGACCCACACAGCACACAACUCAGAGCUACCACAAUGGAAGUUGUGAGUGGAAAGAAAGAAACGUGCUUCAAACGUCUUCAAAGCAAUCCAAAACCAGGUACUGCUGGGCAUUCUCCUGUAACUACAGCCAAAAAUGCAAUUCAUAGCUUAAGCAGUGAAAGCAGCAGAGAUGUAAUAGCAUGACUGUUCACUAGGAUGCACUGGCUCUUCUGAGAAGCCACAAAUACUAUCCCAGGUGCCAUAUCGUGCUUAUGUAGCAAGACUCCUAAUGGCUGGGACACAGUUCUGCAUAAUGAUUUGUAAGCCUUUCUUCCAGGCUCCACUGAGACUAUUCCUAGACUAUAACUUACAUAAAAGCAUAAACAUUUCCAGAUUUGGAAUAAAAAUAAUUCUCAAGUGUCGCCAGAUUUGCCAAGGAAUGAAGACUACAAAAUACAAGAGUCAGAGUAGGCAAAACGAACAGCAAUUAAAUAUCUUCAAAAGACAUUUGUUGUAGACUGAACUGUAUCACAGUUCCAUAUUGUAACGCGAUAGAAAGUAGCGGCAAUGACAGCUGAGUAGCAAGAUCCUACACUGCAACAAGUGAGGACUUGCUCAAACGCAACAGUCACGGGCAUAGAAACAAAGGAAAAAAGCUGCUUACCUUCAGAAGGCCUCAGGUACACAGGAAUCUCCAGAGAGAUACCCUCACCUCCACUGCCAACCCUUAAAUGAGAUCUGGGAAGGGGUGGAUCCUGGCUCCAGCCCUUCUGGUCACUCAGUACAUUGGUUGCACCUGAGCUGCUCUGGGUUGGCCCUGCCUUCCCACCAGGUGCUCAAUCACUGUUUCAAGCUGUGACUUAGCAUUUCCACCACAUGUGUACCUAAUAAGUUCUUUUUCACAUAGAAAUAUAUUAUUUUAAAUAAAAAUAAAAAAUAAAAAAAAUAGUAGGCAGUGUAAGUGAUGUGCUUCACAAGUGUUACACACAGCAAAGCAGAACUGCAGAUAAACAUGGUGGUUUCACCGGUCAGCCUAGCAGACCUUGUCUUCACAAAAGCACCACUGAAGUUACUACAUCGGAAUGCAACUUGCCCUCGGAACUGAAAUGGAAAAACAAAUCUAUAGGGAUCCUGUAAUGCUAGACAUGAAGGCUGAGUGGCAGCAGCAGUUACUUGAGUGCAA